UCCCUCUCUCUCUGCCCCUCCCCCACUCACACAUGCGCUUGCUCGCUCUCAAAAUAAACAUUAAAAAAUAAAAUAAAACCUAGGGAAAGAUCCUGAACACGUCCUACGCAUUCUAGUGGAAAUUAAUAAAGAUGAACACAUUUCACAAAUAUUGUCUGUAGUGUGUGCGUGGUGUCCUCGUUAGUUUACCGUAGUGGAUGCGGCAUGUUGGCUGCUCUCCUCCCUCUAGCCCCGGCUCUGGUUUUCCCACAAGGGUUCAAGUUCUCCCACCACGAACUGUCUUGUCUACCACAGAAGUCGCAGCCUCAGCCCCUGCAAGGGGGGGGGGGGGGGGGGGGGUAGGUUCAGUCUGGAAUGACUGAGGUCAGGGUGGCUCCUGGGCACACAGGGUGAGGACCCUGAAGCAGUCGCGGUGGUGAGACGUGGAAGGAGGUGGGGCACGCUUCACGUGAAGGCAGGGAGGUUCCUCGUCCCUUCCCAGGCGCUGCUGCCCUUCCAUGUGGUCUUCGCCUCCGCCAGCCUGGUCUCGUCACAGAGGCCCGGAGUCCUCGCGGGACUAGGAUCACCCUUCUGCCAAGCGCGAGAGACGCCCUCCACAAAGGGCCUCUAGAAAGUACUGCGCGCCCGCGUGUGCGCAUGCGCGUUAGCGUUGGUGCGCUCGCACUUCCCGCUCUUACUCAAGCUCCCUCACGUGAGACGCCGGUCCAGGUGUCGCGCCGGGCCUCAGUUUGGUGUCAGCUACCAGCCAUUGCUCAGCCAGUCGCUGAGGCUUGUCCUCCUCACACAGUCCAGUCUGUCAUGGUCACUGCCAAGAGUUCUUUCCCAGGCCGGGCAGCGUCUGGGUCCCUCAGCCCUUCCGAAAUGAGGAUUCACUUAAGCUGCCUCCCUGAUUCCAUACUCCGUGCAGGCCAUGUCCUACCCCAGCUUUCAAGCCGUCGUACCUGUACCUCAGAGAGAAAAAAGAGCCAGAGGAGAGAAAAUGUGCCCCACCCUCUCUGAGUCCUCGGUCAGGAAAAGGUUGUUUUCAGAAGGAAAGAAUGAAGAGGAAGAGGAAACAUCCCUUUUUGCUGCAGCUACGACCGGCUUUCGCUCCCAGGGGCGAGGCAGGCUGAUGGCCACUGGGUGCUGUCCAGGGAGCCCCCUGGGUUCUCGGUCCUCCCCCCUCACCAGCGCAAGUGCCCCUGCUAACAAGUCAACA
Herpailurus yagouaroundi (jaguarundi) is the source of this 1198-nucleotide long non-coding RNA. RefSeq lists it as uncharacterized. The record is from RefSeq and is a predicted model, not a curated record. NCBI's taxonomy places the organism in Eukaryota, Metazoa, Chordata, Mammalia, Carnivora, Felidae. The transcript is spliced from 3 exons.